GAGCCCCCUUCGAAGGUUGGACGGACUCUUAAUCCGUUGGUCGCAGGUUCGAAUCCUGCAGGGCCCACCA
RNAcentral lists this transfer RNA (70 nucleotides) under Rubrivivax sp. RNAcentral's name for it is "tRNA-Ser". It matches the Rfam family "tRNA". Rfam says of the family: Transfer RNA (tRNA) molecules are approximately 80 nucleotides in length. Lineage: Bacteria; Pseudomonadati; Pseudomonadota; Betaproteobacteria; Burkholderiales; Sphaerotilaceae. The record is from RNAcentral.